UCCAUUGGCAAUUUGGGUUCCGCCGGAGCAGGAGCGAUUAUCCUAGACUCCAAAGGCUCUCAGGUAGCAGGUUGUCAUCGUUUUCUUGGCUCCUACUCUAACAUGAUUGCAGGACUUUGGGCCAUUCGUGAUGGGUUACAACUGGCUUAACAGCUACAUGUUGAUCAUAUUAUUGUGGAGCUUGAGGUUUUAUCUGUAAUUUCUCUAUUGCACAAAGGUAAUUGUAGUAACUUAACUCUUCGCUCCUUGGUUAUGGAUUGCAGGACUUUAUUGGCGACCUCCCAGCAUCGUCACCUCGUUCACAUCUUCUGAAAGGGUAAUUGCUAUGCUGAUUGUUUUGUAUUUCGAACUGCCUUCUUUAAAUGUGCAGCUUUGUCAAUUCUGAUAUUGCUGGACGCUUUGUCUAUCGUGCUACUGUUUCGUUUUAAAUUUUAGUAAUGAAAGUUCCUUUAUUUCCCACACAAGAAAAACAUAGUUUCAUCCCCUAACAUUUUGAUCCUGAAACUGCGAGCUAAUAAUGUUGAUGGAGAAAUUGCUUUGUUUAACUAGCAAGUGGCUUUUAUAUUGAAAGACAGAGGACAGUGUCGUUUUUGGAAUAAGUAAAUUGUUACAAAUUUUAAGCAUAAUUUUGCAGCAAAAGAAGAGUACUCAAUUACAUUUUACAUCACAGAGCACCAAUGUUCUUGAGACCAAGAACGAUCCCAACACCAAAAAUAUGGCCAACAACACCACAAGCCAAAGUGUCAGCAAGUGUAAAACCAGCAGGGUCACCAGUCUGCAAGCCUGAGUCCCUUACUUCAAGCUUCAAUCCAGCGGUGGCCUUUCUGUUUGCUGAUGGAGCCAACCCAAACCUCCCAGCAAACAGCAUCAGG
RNAcentral lists this long non-coding RNA (872 nucleotides) under Gossypium barbadense (sea-island cotton). Its description in RNAcentral is "long non-coding RNA (GBAR_LNC002789)". Lineage: Eukaryota; Viridiplantae; Streptophyta; Magnoliopsida; Malvales; Malvaceae. The record is from RNAcentral.